Molecule: ribosomal RNA, 426 nt
Filed under: uncultured prokaryote
Description: bacterial SSU rRNA
Rfam family: Bacterial small subunit ribosomal RNA
Source: RNAcentral
UAGGGAAUAUUGGUCAAUGGGCGCAAGCCUGAACCAGCCAUGCCGCGUGAGUGAUGAAGGCCUUCGGGUCGUAAAACUCUUUUCUGAGGGAAGAACAUCCUGCGUAGGAAAUGACGCGGGCUUGACGGUACCUCAGGAAUAAGCAACGGCUAACUCCGUGCCAGCAGCCGCGGUAAUACGGAGGUUGCGAGCGUUGUUCGGAAUCACUGGGCGUAAAGGGAGCGCAGGCGGUUGGGUAAGUCUAAAGUGAAAGCCGGGGCUCAACGCCGGAAGUGCUUUGGAUACUACCCCACUCGAGUUCGGGAGAGGAAAGCGGAAUUCCAGGUGUAGCGGUGAAAUGCGUAGAUAUCUGGAGGAACACCGGUGGCGAAAGCGGCUUUCUGGCACGAUACUGACGCUGAGGCUCGAAAGCGUGGGGAGCAAACA